AGACAGUUCGGUCCCUAUCUGCCGCGGGCGCAGGAGAUCUGAGGAGGUCUGCCCUUAGUACGAGAGGACCGGGGUGGACAGACCUCUGGUGAUCCGGUUGUUCCGCCAGGAGCAUUGCCGGGUAGCUACGUCUGGAACGGAUAACCGCUGAAAGCAUCUAAGCGGGAAGCCGGCUCCAAGAGUGAUCUCCCGGACCUUAUGGUCCCCUAAGGCCGCAGGAAGAUUACCUGUUUGAUAGGCCGGAGGUGGAAGCAUGGCAACAUGUGAAGCUGACCGGUACUAAUUGGCCGGGAGACCUGACUUA
This 304-nucleotide ribosomal RNA is filed under the name SAR324 cluster bacterium. RNAcentral's name for it is "partial 23S ribosomal RNA". It matches the Rfam family "Bacterial large subunit ribosomal RNA", at positions 2624 to 2925 of the family's 2925-position model. Lineage: Bacteria; Deltaproteobacteria. The record is from RNAcentral.